Molecule: ribosomal RNA, 505 nt
Filed under: uncultured bacterium
Lineage: Bacteria
Description: bacterial SSU rRNA
Rfam family: Bacterial small subunit ribosomal RNA
Source: RNAcentral
CUACGUGCCAGCAGCCGCGGUAAUACGGAGGAUGCGAGCGUUAUCCGGAUUUAUUGGGUUUAAAGGGUGCGUAGGCGGCCUGUUAAGUCAGCGGCGAAAUCUAGGAGCUUAACUCCUAAAUUGCCAUUGAUACUGGCGGGCUUGAGUGUAGAUGAGGUAGGCGGAAUGCGUGGUGUAGCGGUGGAAUGCAUAGAUAUCACGCAGAACUCCGAUUGCGAAGGCAGCUUACUAAGGUACAACUGACGCUGAAGCACGAAAGCGUGGGUAUCAAACAGGAUUAGAUACCCUGGUAGUCCACGCUGUAAACGAUGAUAACUGGGCGUAUGCGAUAUACAGUAUGCUCCUAAGCGAAAGCGUUAAGUUAUCCACCUGGGGAGUACGCCGGCAACGGUGAAACUCAAAGGAAUUGACGGGGGCCCGCACAAGCGGAGGAACAUGUGGUUUAAUUCGAUGAUACGCGAGGAACCUUACCCGGGAUUGAAAUUUAGAUGCUGGCAGAUGAGAG